UCAAGCUACAAAGAGCACAAGGGGAAUGCCUUGGCACCGAGAGCCGAAGAAGGACGUGACUAACUGCGAUAAGCUGCGGGGAGCCGUAAGUAGGCUUUGAUCCGCAGAUUUCCGAAUGGAGCAAUCCGGCAAGAGGAAAGUCUUGUCAUCAUAUACUGAAUACAUAGGUAUAUGAGGGGAACCGCCUGAACUGAAACAUCUAAGUAGGGUGAGGAAGAGAAAUCAACUGAGAUUCCGUAAGUAGUGGCGAGCGAACGCGGAAGAGGCCAAACCGAGAGUAGUAAUACUUUCGGGGUUCGGACAGAAAACGGUAUUGUAAAGGUUUAGUGGAAUGGAAUGGGAAGUCCAACCGAAGAAGGUGAGAGUCCUGUACACGAAAAGCCUGAACAGCCAUCUGUAUCCAGAGUACCGCCGGACACGUGAAACCCGGUGGGAAUAUGGGGGGACCAUCCUCCAAGCCUAAAUACUACUCGGUGACCGAUAGUGAAGAAGUACUGUGAAGGAAAGGUGAAAAGUACCCCUGACGGGGAGUGAAAAAGAACCUGAAACCUUGUGUUUACAAGCACCGAAAGCUCAUCAAAGAGCGAUCGGGUACCUUUUGUAGAAUGGUCCGGCGAGUGAAUGUAACCGGCGAGGUUAAGCACUUAAGGUGUGAAGCCGCAGCGAGAGCAAGUCUGAAUAGGGCGUAUGAAGUCGGUUGUAUUCGACCCGAAACCGGGUGACCUACCCAUGGUCAGGUUGAAGUAAAGGUAAAACUUUAUGGAGGACCGAACCGACUCCCGUUGAAAUGGUAGCGGAUGAACUGUGGGUAGCGGAGAAAUUCCAAUCGAACCCGGAGAUAGCUGGUUCUCCCCGAAAUAGCUUUAGGGCUAGCCUUGAAAUAGAUUACCGGAGGUAAAGCACUGAAUUGGCUAGGGGCCGAGAGGUUACUGAACCUUAUCAAACUAAGAAUGCCGGAUAAUCGUUUUUCAGGAGUCAGACAGUGGGAGAUAAGUUUCAUUGUCAAAAGGGAAACAGCCCAGACCCACAGCUAAGGUCCCCAAGUAUAGUUAAGUGGAAAAGGAUGUGGAAUUGCACAGACAACCAGGAUGUUGGCUUAGAAGCAGCCACUCAUUAAAAGAGUGCGUAAUAGCUCACUGGUCGAGUGACUCUGCGCCGAAAAUUUAACGGGGCUAAACUAUACACCGAAGCUUGGGAUACAUCUAAUGUAUGGUAGGAGAGCGUUCUGUAUGGGGAGAAGUCGUAGCGAAAGCGGCGGUGGACUAUACAGAAGUGAGAAUGCCGGAAUAAGUAGCGAGAAUUAAGUGAGAAUCUUAAUGGCCGAAAGUCUAAGGUUUUUGGAGGAAGGUUCGUCCGCUCCAAGUAAGUCGGGAGCUAAGGUCAGGCCGAAAGGCGUAGCCGAUGCACAUACGGUUGAUAUUCCGUAACCAUCUGUAAUUUAAGCAAAGGGACACUUCAAAAGGGUGUGACCCGGGCGUUGGUUGACCCGGGCGUAAGGGACCGAAAUUAGAGUAGGGAAGCACACUUGGCUGAAGGCGAGAAAAGCUUUGCGUAUAGAAGCAGAUGCCCGUACCGCAAACCGACACAGGUGGACAGGAAGAGAAUUCUAAGGCCAGCGGGAGAAGGGUAGUUAAGGAACUCGGCAAAUUGACUCCGUAACUUCGGAAUAAGGAGUGCUCGAAAGAGCCGCAGAGAAUAGGCCCAGGCGACUGUUUAGCAAAAACACAGGUCUCUGCCAAAUCGAAAGAUGAAGUAUAGGGGCUGACACCUGCCCGGUGCCGGAAGGUUAAGAGGAGGAGUGAGAGCUCCGAAUUGAAGCCCCGGUAAACGGCGGCCGUAACUAUAACGGUCCUAAGGUAGCGAAAUUCCUUGUCGGGU
Molecule: ribosomal RNA, 1878 nt
Filed under: human gut metagenome
Description: bacterial LSU rRNA
Rfam family: Bacterial large subunit ribosomal RNA
Source: RNAcentral